ACCCCAGGUCAGGCGGGAUUACCCGC
Molecule: ribosomal RNA, 26 nt
Filed under: Gentianella magellanica
Lineage: Eukaryota; Viridiplantae; Streptophyta; Magnoliopsida; Gentianales; Gentianaceae
Also listed under: 1 other name
Description: partial large subunit ribosomal RNA
Source: RNAcentral